This 185-nucleotide ribosomal RNA is filed under the name uncultured bacterium. RNAcentral describes it as "partial 16S ribosomal RNA". It matches the Rfam family "Bacterial small subunit ribosomal RNA", at positions 337 to 520 of the family's 1533-position model. The record is from RNAcentral.
UCCUACGGAGGCAGCAGUAAGGAAUAUUGGUCAAUGGACGCAAGUCUGAACCAGCCAUGCCGCGUGGAGGAUGAAGGUCCUCUGGAUUGUAAACUUCUUUUAUCUGGGACGAAACACUCCUAUUCUUGGGGGCCUGACGGUACCAGAUGAAUAAGCACCGGCUAACUCCGUGCCAGCAGCCGCGG